RNAcentral lists this ribosomal RNA (349 nucleotides) under uncultured bacterium. Its description in RNAcentral is "partial 16S ribosomal RNA". It matches the Rfam family "Bacterial small subunit ribosomal RNA", at positions 338 to 698 of the family's 1533-position model. The record is from RNAcentral.
CCUACGGGUGGCUGCAGUCGAGAAUAAUUCACAAUGGGGGAAACCCUGAUGGAGCGAAGCCGCGUGGGGGAAUGAAGGUCUUCGGAUUGUAAACCCCUGUCAUGUGGGAGCAAAGUAAAAAGAUAGUACCACAAGAGGAAGAGACGACUAACACUGUGCCAGCAGCCGCGGUAAUACAGAGGGCGCAAGCGUUGUUCGGAACAACGGGGCGUCAAGCGUGCGGAGGCAGUGUCGUACGUCGUGGGUGAAAGUCGCGGGCUCAACCCGCGGACGGCACCUGAUACUGCGAGUCUAGAGUAAUGGAGGGGGCACCGGAAUUCUCGGUGUAGCCGUGAAAUGCGUAGCUAUC